AAUAAUACAAUGCAAAACAGUAC
Molecule: small nuclear RNA, 23 nt
Filed under: Arabidopsis thaliana (thale cress)
Lineage: Eukaryota; Viridiplantae; Streptophyta; Magnoliopsida; Brassicales; Brassicaceae
Description: snRNA_12006
Source: RNAcentral